GGAAUUCGAUUCGUGCUUAACACAUGCAAGUCGUACGAGAACUCUUCUGCUUGCAGAAGAUAGUAAAGUGGCGUACGGGUGAGUAACGCGUGGGUAAUCUACCUCCGAAUCGGGGAUAACAUUGCGAAAGCGAUGCUAAUACCGGAUAAUAUCCUGAGGUCUUCGGUCCUUGAGAUCAAAGGUGGCCUCUACAUGUAAGCUACCGUUUGGAGAUGAGCUCGCGUACCAUUAGCUUGUUGGUGGGGUAAUGGCCUACCAAGGCUACGAUGGUUAGCUGGUCUGAGAGGAUGAUCAGCCACACUGGAACUGACACACGGUCCAGACUCCUACGGGAGGCAGCAGUGAGGAAUUUUGCGCAAUGGGGGAAACCCUGACGCAGCAACGCCGCGUGAGUGAUGAAGGCUUUCGGGUCGUAAAGCUCUGUCAAGUGGGAAGAACCUGUCCGAUGCGAACACCAUUGGGCACUGACGGUACCACUGAAGGAAGCACCGGCUAACUCCGUGCCAGCAGCCGCGGUAAUACGGGGGGUGCAAGCGUUAUUCGGAAUCAUUGGGCGUAAAGGGCGCGUAGGCGGCCUCUUAAGUCAGAUGUGAAAGCC
This 598-nucleotide ribosomal RNA is filed under the name uncultured bacterium. RNAcentral's name for it is "bacterial SSU rRNA". It matches the Rfam family "Bacterial small subunit ribosomal RNA", at positions 26 to 602 of the family's 1533-position model. The record is from RNAcentral.